CUUGGAGAUUAUUCAUUGUAUAGACCAUUGGUAAGUAUUCUUCCUUCCCUGCUUUGUCAUUGGUAUUUCAUCGGUUGAGGAUUCCUCUGCUUUAUGGUAAAUGGCUGAUAGGAAAUGUCUGUUAUAUCCAUGCUGAUAUCCAACUUGAUAGAUGCAAUCUAGCUUUUUUUUUUCUUUCAAUUCUUGGUUGUCUGUAAUGUAGAGAUUCGUUCUCCUGAAAUAAAAAUUGAAGGCUGAUACUUUGUAUGCAGUUGGGUCCAAGGACCAUUUUGUAUGAUGACUUGCUCAUAUGUAGAUUUUCUAUAAAUCAACAUCAGUUCAGUAUUUUAGUUCUAAUUUUAUGUCUAAAAAAAUGCAUAGUUGAAUUUACUGAUUUGCUGCCUUUUUAGUGUACCGUUACCGCUUCAGCAUUAAUUCAUCAGCCAAUUCGUCCACCUUCGUUCCAUUGCUUCGUACUGUGAUGAUAUUGUUUACGAACCUUAUAUGUAAUCUCAUGUCUUACUGGAAUCUACUUAAUACUUUACUUUUGGCUUCUCUAAGUAAAAUUUCAGCUAAGGAAGCUACCAUGGGACUUCGUAUUGGGAUACCUUUUGUGUGGUGGUAAUAUUUACUCUUAAAUUUGAAGGAUUUAUGACAUAUGAUGUAAGACAAUUUCCUUAGAAAUGGUGCUUUUUCUUACAUAUUAGGUGCAUUCAUAAGCAAAAAUCUAUAAAAAUGCAUGACACGUUGGUUCUAUUUCUAAUGAAGGGUAGAGGCUCUCAAAAUUAAAGAUUGCUAUUACAUCCCAUUUGUGCUAUUUGAAUUCUUUUGGCCUUGAUAGGGCUUGCAUUGUAAUCGUGGCAAAAUUAUCAGUUUGGUCUAGUAUAUUCACGACCCAAUUAGUCAAUUUCUGUUUCAAGUUAUAUGUAGGGACGACACCUCUUUCUACGAUUGGCCUUGGUGCUAUUGGAUCUUUGUGUGUUUUGAUAUACACAAUCAAUCUGGGACAGGCUGGGGUUUCUACUGCCAUGUGCCUCCAAACCUCUGGGAAGUGCUUGCUUUUUGUGAUUUUAUCUAUUGCUGCUUUUAGCUCCGUAGUCAGAUCUUUUUGGACUGUUUCAGGUUGUAUGGCUUGUAUGUAUUCAUGUAAGAAGGCAUCAUAUCUUUAUCUUUACAGCAACACCAUUUUUCUUGAUUUGUCUGUUCUGGUGAUGAUGUGUCAUUUUCUUUGAUCCAUCAGAAUGUCUUCUUGAGGUGUGCCUCAUAAUUAUGCUUUGCUGCUUUCAUUUCUUGGUUUUUUUUUCCCUCUCCUCUCUCAUACACAUUUGCAUCUUAAUUUCUGCCUUUCUAGUUCGUGGUCUCCUAAGGUAGCUAGAAUGUCUUCUAGGAUUGGAAUUUCAUUCAUUGAGGUCAUUUCUUUAGAUAUGGUACAGACUGAUUCUUUUCUGAAUAGCUCUUCUGCAAAGUGUGAUAGAAAAAUUGAUGAUAAUAUUAAGAUAGAUAAAACUAAGUCCAGUUGUGUUCUUGCCAUGGACAUGUUGCCAUUUAAAAAUUCAUUUUGAUCUUUAUAUAUUUCUAAGAUUUCUUUUUAGCUUCUCAUUUCAUUCAAUACCAUUUAUAAAGGUUACUGUUUCCCCUGUUUGUUGCAACUGAUUUUUGUAUUCUGUUUCAAUCUUGAACUUUAAAAUACUUCUUCUUUGUGUCCGUUAUGGCUACCCUUAGGCAGCUUAUCUUUGUGUUGUUCAAGACACUUUUGAGUUGACCAAUAAGUUAUUAUUAUAAUUGCAGGGUAUACUUGGUUGAUCUUACAUAAUAAGACCC
This 1800-nucleotide long non-coding RNA is filed under the name Androctonus crassicauda. The record is from RNAcentral. Lineage: Eukaryota; Metazoa; Arthropoda; Arachnida; Scorpiones; Buthidae.